Molecule: long non-coding RNA, 104 nt
Organism: Mycetomoellerius zeteki
Lineage: Eukaryota; Metazoa; Arthropoda; Insecta; Hymenoptera; Formicidae
Exons: 3
Source: RefSeq, a predicted model, not a curated record
CGUCAUAAGCGACACGUUGAUUUUUCUUGCAUAUUAUUUAUAAAUAAAGACAAUUUGAAUAAAACGGAAUAAUGAGAUCGCUAUUAAAAAAUUGCAUCUUAUUU